UCCGCAAACUCCAACUCAUUUUGACGUUAGUUUAAAUUAUUGAGUCGACUUUGAUAUUUUUAAAUCCUUGUUUAUGAAUUUUGUUACGUCGCAUCAACUUAACCUAAUUUUUUCUUGAUUUACAUUUGCAAUUAUUUAAUCUAAUCAAUUUCAUCUAUAAAAAAUGCAGCACACUAAUUUAACUAUCAGAUAUGAAAAAUCAAAUCCCAUAUCUCUUCCUCAAUGGCAAACAACCAGAUUCAGAAGCAAGGAAAAAACAUCAAAAUUUCGAAGAUUACGUGAUGUUGUACACGACUAUAUGCAAUAUGUGUACUCAAAAGGCUCCUAAUGACUAUUCUCAGAUCGCUGAGUUUAUUUUAUUUAUAAUUUGAUUUUUGGUUAUUUGUGAUCUGAUGAGUUAUGUGUUGUUAUCUAAUUUGCUACUAUUUCUUAUAUUGAAUAUUGAUUUCCGCAAAUUGAAUCCAUUCAUUUUGAUUGUUGUAUUCAUCUCAAAAAAACGCAAGGUUGAGAGCGAGAGUGAACUGAGUGAGAAUAGAAUAGAAUCACGCAUCAAAUCCAUAACUUGAAUCUUCUCAAUCCUUGGCAGCAACUUGAAUUUGUUGGCAUGUAUGCCUUUCUCAUGAUGAAUAAGUUUGGCUCGGGUUGGCAGCGGAGGAAGUUUUUAGAGGUGUUGAUACCCUUUAACUCAAAGCAUUUUACAUGUGCAUUCUUAGCUUUGGUCUAUUGAAUAAAAAAAACCUCUGGUAUGUAUUUAGCAUUUUAGCUAGCAUGCAUAUGAAUAUCUUCAAUUUAUUCCUUAUUUAGCAAAUCCUUGGGAGGAAGAGAACUUCCUUGCAGCAGCUGCAGCAGUAGAAAAUGCUCAACAGGUCUGUGAAGCUUUCUUGCUAUAUUUUAAAGGCAAAUCCUUGGGAGGAAGAGAAUUUCCUUGCAGCAGUAGAAAAUAUAGUUGAAAUGCCAUCUGCCUAGAACUCAAUUUGGUGUAAAUGGAUUCAGUUAUAAACAAUUUUAUCAAUGCAAGAAGCAGCAGAAGGAUUUCUUUUUUUCUUUUUUUUGGUCAAGUAGCCUAGUGCUAGAGCUCACACAAUUUAAUUAUGGAGAAGUGGAGUGUCCGGGGUUCGAACCCCGGCUCCUGCAUAUAAUAUGCAAUAUCCCUACCAACUGAGGUAAGCUCACGGGGAUGCAGCAGAAGGAUUUCUUAAUUUAAAAUGUUUGCAACUCACUUAUUUUCUCCAUUCAUUCAUGUUUUUUACCAAUGUUUUUUUGUUGUUUUUUGUUCUGUUUAUGGAAUUCUUCUCUAUUUAUGCA
Molecule: long non-coding RNA, 1305 nt
Organism: Medicago truncatula (barrel medic)
Lineage: Eukaryota; Viridiplantae; Streptophyta; Magnoliopsida; Fabales; Fabaceae
Exons: 4
Source: RefSeq, a predicted model, not a curated record